This 364-nucleotide long non-coding RNA is filed under the name Lathyrus oleraceus (garden pea). Its description in RNAcentral is "Pisum sativum (pea) long non-coding RNA (PSAT_LNC023353)". Lineage: Eukaryota; Viridiplantae; Streptophyta; Magnoliopsida; Fabales; Fabaceae. The record is from RNAcentral.
AAUUUCAUUUUUUAAAUUACUAAUUUCUUCUUGUAAAUCUUUAAUAGAAACAGUUUUUUCAACCGGUUUCUUAAAUAAAUCCAUAACAUUUUUAAAUUCUACUUUGUGAAUAUUCUUUUUGGAAAUAUCAUUUUCAUCUAUAAUAUUUUUAAUUUGUCUCAUGAAAGCAUUCUUACUUUCUGAAUUUUCCAUUUUGUCUAAUAUUCCUAUCAAAGUAUUAGCUUGAUUAUUUGUUAAAACAUUAAUUAUUUUAUUACAAUUGUCACAAUUACAGAAAUCUAGGCCUAAACAUUCAUCAGAAUCAUCAUCCGAUUUUUCAGAAUUGUCAAUUUGAUGUAUUUCUUCGUAAGAAGAUUCUUCAGAU